Molecule: ribosomal RNA, 467 nt
Filed under: uncultured bacterium
Lineage: Bacteria
Description: partial 16S ribosomal RNA
Rfam family: Bacterial small subunit ribosomal RNA
Source: RNAcentral
GACGAACGCUGGCGGCGUGCUUAACACAUGCAAGUCGAACGGAAAGGCCCUGCUUUUGUGGGGUGCUCGAGUGGCGAACGGGUGAGUAACACGUGAGUAACCUGCCCUUGACUUUGGGAUAACUUCAGGAAACUGGGGCUAAUACCGGAUAGGAGCUCCUGCUGCAUGGUGGGGGGUGGAAAGUUUCGGCGGUUGGGAUGGACUCGCGGCUUAUCAGCUUGUUGGUGGGGUAGUGGCUUACCAAGGCUUUGACGGGUAGCCGGCCUGAGAGGGUGACCGGCCACAUUGGGACUGAGAUACGGCCCAGACUCCUACGGGAGGCAGCAGUGGGGAAUAUUGCACAAUGGGCGGAAGCCUGAUGCAGCAACGCCGCGUGCGGGAUGACGGCCUUCGGGUUGUAAACCGCUUUCGCCUGUGACGAAGCGUGAGUGACGGUAAUGGGUAAAGAAGCACCGGCUAACUACGUG